This 1799-nucleotide long non-coding RNA is filed under the name Ananas comosus (pineapple). RNAcentral's name for it is "long non-coding RNA (ACOM_LNC027245)". The record is from RNAcentral. Lineage: Eukaryota; Viridiplantae; Streptophyta; Magnoliopsida; Poales; Bromeliaceae.
AUUAGGCUACUAUACUAUCUAUAGUACGGGAGCUCCCGUACUAUAGUGUAGUUUUCGAUCUUCGGGCAUUCAAAUCAACGAUCCACACUGUUAAAACUGAUUUAAGGUAUUUAAAGUUUUUAGAAAUAAAUUUUUAUAUUUUUUCGACAUCGUUUACUUAGUAAAUAAAUUAUGUCAAAAUGGACGGUGGGAAUUGAAUACUCUUUAAAUUUUGAGUAUAGGACUUUUAAAUUUAAGAUCAAGAAUGUUAACCUUAAUCUAUAUAGUUUAAAGUAUUUUCUAUCAAAAUUUGAAGAAAUUUAGAUUCUUCUAUACCGUUAAACUCCCGAUUCGUCAUAAUAGCCAUUGAAAAUUGACAAAUUUGAAAUGUUUUGAUCAUAAAGUAAACUAUGUCGAAAAAAUAUAAAAAUUUAUUUCUAAAAACUUUAAAUAUCCUAGAUCAGUUUUAACGGUGUGGAUCGUUGAUUUGAACGCCCGAAGAUCGAAAACGACACUAUAGUACGGGAGCUCCCGUACUAUAGAUAGUAUAGUAGCCGGACUCCAUAUAUAUCUAUAAACUUAAAUGAAAGCACAAUAUUUCUUGCCACGUGGCAAGUCAUUUUUCAUCCCUUCAUCCUCAUAAAUAAAUAAAUAAAUGAAACUAAUUCCUCUAUCUAAAUAUCAAAUUAACAACCCUUAGUCACAUUAAAUAUCAAAUUCUUUACUCUUGGACUUUUAUCUUAUGAAACCAACCCUUCGCCUUCCCUUCACAUAUAACGUCUAAUUUAACCCUAUCUAAAUGUACCGUAAAUCUAGAAACUCAUCCAAAAGGUCCAAUCUUUUGCCUUCCCUCCGCAUAUAACGUCUAAUUAAUGUAUCCAUUCAUUUUAACCCUAAUAUAAUCGUAAAUCAAAAAAACCCACGCAAAAGCCUCAUUCUCUCCUAUGCAUGUCAUGAAAAUAAAAGCUUAUUUUAUUUCUUAUAAUAAAUUACAACCUCCUUCAUUUAGCAAGAGGUGUGGGAACUAUUUACUUUUUUUUAAAAAAAAUUCCUAAUUUUGAUGUAUUAUCCUCUUUUCAUUUAGUCUGAGGCGUGGGCGAUGCUUCAGGUCAUAGCGAUGGCGGAGGUGGUGAAUGUGAUGGCAUUGGAGACUAAGACGGCUGCGGAAGAAAGCGUGGGCAAUGACAGUGGAGAUCGAGACGGCAGUAAAAGCAAUGGCAAGACUCGCCCUCUUAGAGACCAAUAUUAAGUGAGAGUUUCUCUAUCUUUUCUUUGUUUUCUCUCUCUUCUUAUUUUCUAUUUUUUUAAUCUAUUUUUAACCUAUUUUACAGUAUUUUUUGAAAUUAUUUGAUAGUUUCUAUUUAAGAUGAGUUGGAUUGGAUUAAAAAUCUAAUACUCUGAUAAUACCCAUCCGCCGCAUCGCGCGGGUAACUACACUAGUAUAUAGUAUUUGUAAAUUAUCUUGCAUAUUAUUGUGAGUUAUUUUUUUAGUCAUAUCAACUGCAAUAUGGCAUUUUAUUUGAUUAUUGUGUUAUAAAAAUAAUUUUAAACAUCCAUUUGCAUGAUAUGUGGCCUUUUUUGAACAAGAUUGAAUAAUUUUAUUGGAACAAUUGAUUCUUUUUCAUUAUAGUUUUAUUUUUUUAAAAAGUGUUUGUUUAUAAUAUAGACUAUAUUCAUUAUUUUUUGUACUAAAUUGAUAUUUUAUUAUUUAUAAAUUUUUAUUCUAACAGUAUCUACUCAUCGUAACACGCGGGUUAGUACACUAGUUAUACAACCAACGGUGGUUUCUUCUUUUAAAAAAGAAACUUUUCAAUUUAAAU